RNAcentral lists this unclassified non-coding RNA (227 nucleotides) under plant metagenome. Its description in RNAcentral is "partial contains small subunit ribosomal RNA, internal transcribed spacer 1, and 5.8S ribosomal RNA". The record is from RNAcentral.
UUUCCGUAGGUGAACCUGCGGAAGGAUCAUUAAAGAAUUUGCCCCGUCCUCUCGAGGAUGGGUCCUCUUCUAAACCGUGUAUACAUACCUUUGUUGCUUUGGCGGGCCGCCGUCUCGGCGUUGGCUUUGGCUGACUGUGCCCGCCAGAGAACCCCAACUCUUCUGUUUAGUAUUGUCUGAGUACUAUAUAAUAGUUAAAACUUUCAACAACGGAUCUCUUGGUUCUG